UGGGGAAUAUUGCACAAUGGGCGCAAGCCUGAUGCAGCCAUGCCGCGUGUAUGAAGAAGGCCUUCGGGUUGUAAAGUACUUUCAGCGGGGAGGAAGGGAGUAAAGUUAAUACCUUUGCUCAUUGACGUUACCCGCAGAAGAAGCACCGGCUAACUCCGUGCCAGCAGCCGCGGUAAUACGGAGGGUGCAAGCGUUAAUCGGAAUUACUGGGCGUAAAGCGCACGCAGGCGGUUUGUUAAGUCAGAUGUGAAAGCCCCCGGCUCAACCGGGGAGGGUCAUUGGAAACUGGGAGACUUGAGUGCAGAAGAGGAGAGUGGAAUUCCAUGUGUAGCGGUGAAAUGCGUAGAUAUAUGGAGGAACACCAGUGGCGAAGGCGGCUCUCUGGUCUGUAACUGACGCUGAGGCUCGAAAGCGUGGGGAGCAAACAGG
This 429-nucleotide ribosomal RNA is filed under the name Chloroflexota bacterium. Its description in RNAcentral is "Chloroflexi bacterium partial 16S ribosomal RNA". It matches the Rfam family "Bacterial small subunit ribosomal RNA", at positions 355 to 776 of the family's 1533-position model. The record is from RNAcentral. Lineage: Bacteria; Bacillati; Chloroflexota.